This is a long non-coding RNA of Triticum dicoccoides, 720 nucleotides long. RefSeq lists it as uncharacterized. The transcript is spliced from 5 exons. Lineage: Eukaryota; Viridiplantae; Streptophyta; Magnoliopsida; Poales; Poaceae. The record is from RefSeq and is a predicted model, not a curated record.
CUCCUUGAAGAUGGUCCGACCUCCAGUUCAUCUAUCGAAGGAUAGUAAUACUACUACUGCUGCAACUAUCUUGUUGUAUCGCUCUGCUUCCAUAUGCAAAACAAUGCAUUAACCUGUUCUUUUUUUGCGGGAAAAAUAAUGCGUUGAUCAAUGUAUUCUGCAUUCCUGAUUGUCAUAUGUUUCAAAUUCAUAAGAUUAGCUAUAUGAAAGCCACGGUGCAUAUAAUGUUCGUUUCAUUUCUUAGCGCAGUAGCUCUGGUAUGAAAGACUGACGAACAUGGGUGAAUAAGCUGGGAGGAACGGACAGCACAGUGACAAUGGGUAGGUGCAACCUUCGGAGAAAAGUGUGUCAAGGCAGCAAUUAUAGUUGGUAACAUGAGCUGCCCCAGUCGCAUGGCAGUGUUCUGGCCAAGAUGGUACGGCACAUAGUUGCUCGCCUAAAUGAAGGGAAUGUUGAUCUGGUCCCUCACGGAGACACUGGAGGAGAUGGUGUGCUCAACCUGAGUUCGCCUUCAGCAUCCUCCUACAGUUUGACAAGUCCAUGAGUGCCACGCCUACAGCCCCAGGUCAAGAGCAAUGCCUUCUUCAAGGUGCCAACCAAAAUGACACCUCUCCACACAUUUAUCACUAUAUUGUACAGAGAACCAAGUGCCCUGACCUAUGCUAUAAAGAGAUCAUGUGAAAACAAAGCUGAAGUUGUUGCUCAGGAUGAGAAGGAAAG